AUUGAACGCUGGCGGCAUGCUUUACACAUGCAGGUCGAACGGCAGCGGGGAGGAGCUUGCUUCUCUGCCGGCGAGUGGCGCACGGGUGAGUAAUACAUCGGAACGUGUCGAGAAGAGGGGGAUAACCACCCGAAAGGGUGGCUAAUACCGCAUAAAUUCUGAGGAAGAAAGCUGGGGACCUAGGAAUAGGCCUAGCGCUUUUUGAGCGGCCGAUGUGGGGUUAGCUGGUUGGUGGGGUAAAGGCUCACCAAGGCGAAGAUCUGUAGCGGGUCUGAGAGGAUGAUCCGCCGCCCUGGGAGUGGGACACGGCCCAGAGUCCUACGGGAGGCAGCAGUGGGGAAUGUUGGACAGUGGGGGCAACCCUUAUCCAGCCAUGCCGCGUGUAUGAAGAAGGCCUUAGGGUUGGAAAGUACUUUUGUUAGUGAAGAAAAGUCAGCUGUGAAUAAUGGCUGAUAUUGACGGUACCUAAAGAAUAAGCACCGGCUAACUACGUG
Molecule: ribosomal RNA, 494 nt
Filed under: uncultured bacterium
Lineage: Bacteria
Description: partial 16S ribosomal RNA
Rfam family: Bacterial small subunit ribosomal RNA
Source: RNAcentral